RNAcentral lists this ribosomal RNA (635 nucleotides) under uncultured bacterium. Its description in RNAcentral is "bacterial SSU rRNA". It matches the Rfam family "Bacterial small subunit ribosomal RNA", at positions 236 to 873 of the family's 1533-position model. The record is from RNAcentral.
UCCCAUUAGCUAGUUGGUAAGGUAACGGCUUACCAAGGCAACGAUGGGUAGGGGUCCUGAGAGGGAGAUCCCCCACACUGGUACUGAGACACGGACCAGACUCCUACGGGAGGCAGCAGUGAGGAAUAUUGGUCAAUGGUCGGAAGACUGAACCAGCCAUGCCGCGUGCAGGAUGACGGCCCUAUGGGUUGUAAACUGCUUUUGUACGGGAAGAAACACCGGUUCGUGAACCGGCUUGACGGUACCGUAAGAAUAAGGAUCGGCUAACUCCGUGCCAGCAGCCGCGGUAAUACGGAGGAUCCAAGCGUUAUCCGGAAUCAUUGGGUUUAAAGGGUCCGUAGGCGGUCUUAUAAGUCAGUGGUGAAAUCUGGUCGCUCAACGAUCAAACUGCCAUUGAUACUGUAGGACUUGAAUUACUGUGAAGUAACUAGAAUAUGUAGUGUAGCGGUGAAAUGCUUAGAGAUUACAUGGAAUACCAAUUGCGAAGGCAGGUUACUAACAGUGGAUUGACGCUGAUGGACGAAAGCGUGGGGAGCGAACAGGAUUAGAUACCCUGGUAGUCCACGCUGUAAACGAUGGAUACUAGUUGUUUGGAUUUAUCUGAGUGACUAAGCGAAAGUGAUAAGUAUCCCACC